Molecule: ribosomal RNA, 495 nt
Filed under: uncultured bacterium
Lineage: Bacteria
Description: partial 16S ribosomal RNA
Rfam family: Bacterial small subunit ribosomal RNA
Source: RNAcentral
GAUGAACGCUGGCGGCGUGCCUAAUACAUGCAAGUAGAACGCUGAAGGAGGAGCUUGCUCUUUCCGGAUGAGUUGCGAACGGGUGAGUAACGCGUAGGUAACCUGCCUGGUAGCGGGGGAUAACUAUUGGAAACGAUAGCUAAUACCGCAUAACAGUAGAUAUUGCAUGAUAUUUGCUUGAAAGGGGCAAUUGCUCCACUACCAGAUGGACCUGCGUUGUAUUAGCUAGUUGGUGAGGUAACGGCUCACCAAGGCGACGAUACAUAGCCGACCUGAGAGGGUGAUCGGCCACACUGGGACUGAGACACGGCCCAGACUCCUACGGGAGGCAGCAGUAGGGAAUCUUCGGCAAAGGACGGAAGUCUGACCGAGCAACGCCGCGUGAGUGAAGAAGGUUUUCGGAUCGUAAAGCUCUGUUGUAAGAGAAGAACGAGUGUGAGAGUGGAAAGUUCACACUGUGACGGUAUCUUACCAGAAAGGGACGGCUAACUACGU